Molecule: ribosomal RNA, 496 nt
Filed under: uncultured bacterium
Lineage: Bacteria
Description: partial 16S ribosomal RNA
Rfam family: Bacterial small subunit ribosomal RNA
Source: RNAcentral
AUGAACGCUGGCGGCGUGCCUCAUACAUGCAAGUCGGGCGAACAGACGAGGAGCUUGCUCCUCUGACGUUAGCGGCGGACGGGUGAGUAACACGUGGAUAACCUACCUAUAAGACUGGGAUAACUUCGGGAAACCGGAGCUAAUACCGGAUAAUAUAUUGAACCGCAUGGUUCAAUAGUGAAAGACGGUUUUGCUGUCACUUAUAGAUGGAUCCGCGCCGCAUUAGCUAGUUGGUAAGGUAACGGCUUACCAAGGCAACGAUGCGUAGCCGACCUGAGAGGGUGAUCGGCCACACUGGAACUGAGACACGGUCCAGACUCCUACGGGAGGCAGCAGUAGGGAAUCUUCCGCAAUGGGCGAAAGCUUGACGGAGCAACGCCGCGUGAGUGAUGAAGGUCUUCGGAUCGUAAAACUCUGUUAUUAGGGAAGAACAAAUGUGUAAGUAACUAUGCACGUCUUGACGGUACCUAAUCAGAAAGCCACGGCUAACUACGUG